This 1571-nucleotide unclassified non-coding RNA is filed under the name Hevea brasiliensis (rubber tree). The record is from RNAcentral. Lineage: Eukaryota; Viridiplantae; Streptophyta; Magnoliopsida; Malpighiales; Euphorbiaceae.
AGUUAAUUUGUCAAGAUACAUAAUGAUAGACCUUAGUGAAUUCCCAUGGGCAGCAACCAUUACAUUCUUUCCAGAUUGAAGCUGGGGUUCAAUCUUUUCUCUAAAAUAGGCAACAGCCCUUUGAGAACACAUUUCCAAGCUCUCUCCAUUUGGGGGAGGAAUAUCAUAACUCCGGCGCCAGUCAUGUACUUUCUCCUUGCCAUAUCUUUCAGCUGUCUCCUCUUUAUUAAGACCUUGUAAUUCACCGUACAUUCUUUCAUUCAAUUGCCAAGCAGUUAUAACUGGAAUAGAUUGCUUAUUGGUUUCAUCGCUGAAAAUUUGACUCCAUGCUUUUGCUUGUUCACUCUCAUCAUGCAUAAUGAUAGGGACCUUCUUGCGGCGGUGUUGUGUCAUGGCAAGCAUAGCUGUCAUCUGUGCACGAAUCAGUGCAGAUGUGUAAAUGAUGUCCACUGGUAUGUUGCUUAUACGUUUACCAGCUUCAAUGGCUUCCUCAAUGCCUCUCUUAGUUAAAGGCACAUCAACACAACCGGUGAACAAAUUCUUCUCAUUCCACAAUGAUUCACCAUGUCGAAUUAAUAUCAAAGAAGAUUCAACUACCAAAGAGCACCAAGCCAAGAAUUAAUCGGAACACAAAGAGUAACCUCAUCUUUAGACAAACCAAUCAAAUGCAAGGACCAAAUCAGUGGUUUCUUAAUAAAACUUAGUUUGGAAAAUUAACUGAAACACAAAGAGGAACCUCAAUUUUAGACAUACUAUUCAGAAGCCAAGAAGUAUCCAAAACUAUGGAAUUUUAAUAAGACCUAGUUUCGAAAUGUCAUAUUUCAAGCAAACCCUUCACUUUCACAAUUCAACGAUGAUAAAAUAAAGGGCAAACAAAAAUCCAUAACAAGUGUGAUCUUAUAUCUAAAAAUCAAGUUUAGAAUAAGAUAAGCUAACUCACUUGAUGUCUUCUGAUUAUAAUCAUUGGCAGAUUGUGAGGUACGCAAAGCAGGGUCCACCACUGAAGCAUGACAUGAGGAUGUAUAAGUCACACGCACUUUGCCAUGUUUAGAAUUACAGAUUCCUUUACUGAGCAAUUUAACAUCUAAAGCAAAACCCUUUGAGAUGCAUUGCAAUGAGGAAUUCCUGAAUUUCCUAAGAAAGCCAGAAUCAUUGCUACAAAUAUGAAGCUGAACAGCUCCAAUAUGAUUGUGUAAUGUACCAGCAUCCAUUUUGUUAAUCUAACUGAAAUCAUCAACAAGGUGACCAUUUAAGCAAACAUAUUAGAAUAAUGUGACACUAGUACCAUCAUAAGAGUAUAAUACAUGGCUACAAGGAUGCUAAAAACAUAUUUUUUAGUUACAGAGUACGAAAACUCAUUUCUCCAACAAAACGAAAAGUAAUCUUACAGAAAUCAAAUUAGUGCUCAAUUUCGAAACCCUAAACCCUCAAUAAAUAAAACUAACGGCUAAAUACACUCAUUAAUGCAAAUUCAUUAAAGAUCAUAAUUUAUUUACUAAGCACAAAUCACACAAGCACUUUUCAUUUGAAAAUUACAAAUGGUGCGAAAGGUUUGAAAAGAAAAAAAGAAA